GUUUUUACAGCUACAUAUUUACUUCAACCGUUACCAAAACCAUCGUGUCCACAAACGACCUCAUGGAUGAAGUGCUGGGGGUGGGGUAAAGCAAACCUGUGAGUCAAAAACAAGUACUAGGACCUGACCCAGACAGUUCACAAAUCACUCACACCAGAGAAACACAGGCGUAGAGGCUGAUCCCCAGAAGGAGGUGGUACAGUCAAGCUUCUGAAACCCCGCGGCUGUCGGGGUCGGAGGGUUGCGCUGGGUCUCACCUUCUUGCCCCCUUUCAGGUCACUCAGGUGUCACUCACAAGGCUUCAUCAAAUGCACCCCAUGAGUGUGGAUGACUCCAGAGAAAACCUUCUGAGGGUUUCCAGAGACGCAUUUUUGCUCCUUCAGAGUAAUGGGAACAAGGGGUCACUCUGCUUCACGAUAAGGCAGUGACCCCACAUGCGUGUGCAGGUGAAACUGCUUUCUCUCUGGCCAGGAUAAAAGAGGAGGCUUACAGCCCUCCACCCAGCACCAGCAGUUGGCGACAGGGCUACGCGUUUGCCAGGGCUACGCGUUUGCCAGGACAGGACCCACUUGCACACACAGUUGUGUCAAGAGCUCUCUGCCUUGCAUGUCUAAUUAUAACAGAAAAGCACAAAUUCAGGGGAACAUUCUUCUGGUGUAUUUUUCCCACCUGUUACACAGUUCUGGUUCAGGACCAUGGCGACCUGGGCACAGGACUCCUCCAUCCUCCACCUGCAACAUGGCAAAGCCAUCUCAUGGUGAGCCUGAAAGAGAGUGUGGUGGGGGACAGAGAGGAGGAAGCCCGUCCCCAGCUGUUUUCUGUGGAACUCUGGAUACUUUUGUCUUCUGUAGAGAACGAGGAUGAACUUGACAAAAAAUCCAGAAAGGUUGCUGUGGAUGGGGCACUGCAGGCCAUUCUCCCAGGGAGUUGGUCCCACUCUGACCAUCUUCUUCCCUGCUCUGGGAGGGAAUGGAGGGCCUCCGUGUAAGCAAACACCGUCGGGCUGUGCGUGUGUGAGACAAUGUGUGCCAAAUGCAAUCUCAUCAACCCAUCUGCCCUUCGACACCCGGGAGCUUGUCCAAGCAGAGAGAAAACAUUCAUCCAGAGUUUAGCAAAUAAUGCCAUCAAUUGAAACACGUUUACUUCCACUGAGAUGUCUUUAAAAGCAGAGUGAUUUUAAAAUAAUGGUUGGUUUUAAACUGCUUAUUUAGGUGUCACGAGUGCAUUUCAGUGGGAGUUUUUUGUUGUUGUUGUCGUUUUGUUUUUUAAGACAGAGUCUCGCACUGUCACCCAGGCUGGAGUGCAGGGAUGUGAUAUUGGCUCACUAAAACCUCCGCCUCCCAGGUUCAAGUGAUUCUUGUGCCUCAACCUCCCAUGUAGCUGGGAUUACAGGCAUGCACCACCACAUUCUGCUAAUUUCUGUAUUUUGGACAGAGUUUUGCCACGUGGUCCAGGCUGGUCUUAAACUCUGGACCUCAAGUGAUCCUCCCGCCUCAGCCCAUGGAGUAGAUGGGACCACAGGAGCGCGCCACCACGCCCGACUACUUGCUGUAAUUUUUGUAGGGAUGGGGUCUAGCCACGCUGCCCAGGCUGGUCCGCACUGCUGGGCUCAAGAGCUCCGCCCGCCUCCGCCUCCCAAAGCGCAGGGAUCACAGGUGUGAGCUACCGCGCCCCGCCCAGAGUUUCCGACUGUUAGCGUGAAUCAUAUUCACGUCAAAACUUCUUUUUAUACAAGAACUAAAAGGCAAACUAAAUCCCUGCUCCAUCACUGCCUGUCCCGGGUCGCGGCGCGGGACAUUUUCUCCAAGCGCCUUCCCGCCCCGCGCGCAGGUGGCCUGCGCCGGAGGAUCCCGGACAACGCGCAUUUCCUGCGCCCCCGGAAGUGGCGGUAACGCCAGGCCCUGCCCCCGGCAGAGGCGGAAGCGCAGUCGCCCUGAGAGGUCUCCCGCGGCCGCAGGGUUGAUAAAGACAGGAGUGGAGUGAUAUCGGACGCCGAGCUUCAGCAAGCUGUCUCCAACGGAUGAAGCCCCACCGGCCGUACAGGAUGCAAAGCCCUCCUCUAUAAAGUGCGUGCGGGGCCAGAUGCAGUGGCUCACGUCUGACCUCCCAACACUUUGGGAGGCCGAGGCAGGGGGAUCGCUUGAGCCCAGGAGUUUGAGACCAGCCUGGGCAACAUUGUGAGACCCUGUUCCUUGAAUUGCCCUGGGAGAUUUCCUCAGCUUGUACUGGAGGCGUGUGGCCCCAUGAAGCCCGUAGUCACCGUUCAUCCUGAGAGACGCUGGCUUUGGGGCUCACACGCCUGCUGCGGGGCAGCCCCAGGAGAUGGCCACCCUGUUUCUCCUGGAGCUGGAGCUGCGCGUGUUCUCAGCAACUGUGGUGGCUGUUCUGUUUUGUUUGCAUCUUAUAAACGUUUACCUGAUUACAUUUUCCUCUUCAAUUUAGCUGCUAGAAAACUUAAAGUCAGAUUGGUGGCUUGCCAGUAAUGAGAGUUUAGAGUAGAGGUAAACUUUAUGACAUAGUCUUAGACUCUUCACUUUCUCCUCAGCCAACAUGAUUCACAUUUACUUUAUUUUGCUGUACUGUGAGUGUCUUUGUGUUUUCUGAAUUCCUUCUGGAAUAAGGCAGGUUGUUAGUAAGCACAGGUUUCUGGUCCAUCUCAUAGCCUCAGGCAGUGGGCGGUGCUGUCCGUGCUCCCUUUCUGGGUUACCUGUGGUAGCUCUGAAGUUGCAGGGCUGCGAUUUGAAGCCUGAUUUAGUACACCGUGUUCCUGUUGUGUUCUGUGGUGGUUUGCUCCUCACAUGUGAGCAUUCACCCUGUGGCCCUGUGUUUUUCCACCACACCUCUGCCUGGUGGCAUCCUACUGGGUGUCUCAGCCGAGCCACUCUGUUCUGAAGAAGCCCUUGUCCUCCACCCCUUUGCUUUGGGCUCUGAGCUGCUUGUGCCUUUCAUCUCUGUAGGAUGAAGCCCCACCCACCCUUCAGGAUGCCUGCCUUGGCAACGUUGUGAGACCCUGUUUCUACAAAAAGUAAACGUGUAGUGGUGCACGCUUGUAGUUCCAGCUACUUGGGAGGCUGAGAUGGGAAGAUCACUUGAGCCUGGGAGGUUGAGGCUGCAUUGAGCUGAGAUCAAGCCACGGCACUCCAGCCUGGGAGACAGAGCGAAACCCCACCUCAAAAAAACAAAGAAAGCGGAUGCGCGCUGCUCCUGCCAUUGGAUCAUCGCAGCAUUUUUCUUUUCUCUGAUGUGUGCCUUUUUCCUCACCGUGGGGCUCAUGUUUUCGUAGUUCCCUCUCGCUACUAGAUUGUGAGCUGCAUGAAGGAAAGUUCAUAGUUGUGUUAUAUGUACAGGCACACAAAAUUUGUCCUUGGAUAGACACAUAUCAAUCUGCUUCCUUCUCCUCUCUGAAUUUCUUUAUUUAAAAAAAAAAAAUUA
Molecule: RNA transcript, 3432 nt
Organism: Gorilla gorilla gorilla (western lowland gorilla)
Lineage: Eukaryota; Metazoa; Chordata; Mammalia; Primates; Hominidae
Gene name: protein MOST-1
Exons: 3
Source: RefSeq, a predicted model, not a curated record